RNAcentral lists this ribosomal RNA (74 nucleotides) under Rhodonia placenta. Its description in RNAcentral is "Postia placenta partial 5.8S ribosomal RNA". It matches the Rfam family "5.8S ribosomal RNA", at positions 1 to 73 of the family's 154-position model. Rfam says of the family: 5.8S ribosomal RNA (5.8S rRNA) is a component of the large subunit of the eukaryotic ribosome. It is transcribed by RNA polymerase I as part of the 45S precursor that also contains 18S and 28S rRNA. Lineage: Eukaryota; Fungi; Basidiomycota; Agaricomycetes; Polyporales; Adustoporiaceae. The record is from RNAcentral.
CAACUUUCAGCAACGGAUCUCUUGGCUCUCGCAUCGAUGAAGAACGCAGCGAAAUGCGAUAAGUAAUGUGAAUU